UCCACAGCCAUAUCACCCUGCAGCCCAAGACUGGUUGCCCACUGAAGCUAAGCAGGGUUGAGCCUGGUCAGUACCUGGAUGGGAGACCUCCUGGGAAAACUAGGUUGCUGUUGGAA
Molecule: ribosomal RNA, 116 nt
Organism: Sinocyclocheilus grahami
Lineage: Eukaryota; Metazoa; Chordata; Actinopteri; Cypriniformes; Cyprinidae
Source: Ensembl